This is a long non-coding RNA of Arabidopsis thaliana (thale cress), 251 nucleotides long. RefSeq annotates it as other RNA. The transcript has a single exon. NCBI's taxonomy places the organism in Eukaryota, Viridiplantae, Streptophyta, Magnoliopsida, Brassicales, Brassicaceae. The record is from RefSeq.
UAUCCAGUCUAAAGUAAUAUAUAAGAUACACAGUAACGUGUGUCAGAGACGAGAGACAUAAUAUCUCUCAUAUAGAUUCGAUUCAACUUAACUCUGUUUUUCUUUUUUCCGAUAUUCAGUUCCAGUCUCCGUUCAAAGCUCUGUGGUUCUGGUCGAUAAAUCCAAAUAAGUUUCGCGAAUUACCGGCAGUUUCUCUCAAUCGUUUAAAGAUCUAGUUCUAAAUCGAUUAGGGUGUGGGUUUGCGGUAGAGG